CGGGUUGUAAAGCUCUUUCAGACGGAAAGAAACGGUUACAGAUGACACCUGUGACUAAUGACGGUACCGUCAGAAGAAGCACCGGCUAACUACGUGC
RNAcentral lists this ribosomal RNA (97 nucleotides) under uncultured bacterium. RNAcentral's name for it is "partial 16S ribosomal RNA". The record is from RNAcentral.